This 253-nucleotide ribosomal RNA is filed under the name uncultured bacterium. Its description in RNAcentral is "partial 16S ribosomal RNA". It matches the Rfam family "Bacterial small subunit ribosomal RNA", at positions 524 to 776 of the family's 1533-position model. The record is from RNAcentral.
UACAGAGGGUGCGAGCGUUAAUCGGAAUUACUGGGCGUAAAGCGUGCGCAGGCGGUUCUGGAAGUCAGCUGUGAAAGCCCCGGGCUUAACCUGGGAAUUGCGGUUGAAACUACAGGGCUAGAAUCUGGCAGAGGGGGGUGGAAUUCCACGUGUAGCAGUGAAAUGCGUAGAGAUGUGGAGGAACACCGAUGGCGAAGGCAGCCCCCUGGGCUGAGAUUGACGCUCAGGCACGAAAGCGUGGGGAGCAAACAGG